GAUUUUAAAGGAAGGAAAGUGCCGAUUUUCGUUCAAGAACAAGGAAUUGGGAGAGGGGAUCAACCUAUCACUUUUGCUGCUAAUUUGGUUAGCUUCAGGUAAAAAAAUAUAAAAAAAUACUGUAGAAACUCGAUAAAUUAAUAGCCUCACUUAAAUAAUAGUUUCUUCCAGUCCCGACUCGGUAAAAACCUACCGAAUUAUUAGUUCGAUACUUUAAUAUUUCGCUAAAUUAAUAGACUUUUGUUCGUCCCGACUCUAUUAAUUUAUAGACUAAUUUAAUCUAAAUGCAGGGCAGGGGGUGAUGACAGUACAACUUAUGCUCCUUCGCCUUUUUACAUGACGUCGAAGAUGAAAUCGCUUUAUCUAGAAGGAUACAAUUACUCGGUCUUCGAUCUAACUAAGGAUGAUUGUGUUCAAAUACAGGUAAUGUAAUAACCGGUCUAAUCUUUCUCUGCAUAAAUACAUAAAUAACAAAAUGCAAUGAUUUUUUUUAUGGCAACUUGCGAAAAUACUUACAGAUACACGGAGAUACGAUCGAAGGUAGAAUACUGAACGGAAACUCGCCCGUUGAGCUUAUCGAACACUUUACAGAAACCAUAGGGAGGCCGGAGAAGCUUCCGGAUUGGAUAAUUUCAGGAGCUGUUGUAGGCAUGCAAGGCGGCACCGAUAAAGUACGAAGCAUCUUGGACGAGCUACGAGCCAAAGAUACUCCAAUAUCUGCAUUUUGGUUGCAGGUAACUAUCAAAAAAAAAAAAAGCAAUCGCCACUUUAAUAAAUAAAGAGCAAGAACAAGAAAACUCGGAACAAGAAUUCAUUUUUUUUAAGGACGUUUUUUUCAUGCAGGACUGGGUAGGACAAAGGAAAACGGUUAUCGGUUCGCAACUAUGGUGGAACUGGGAAGUGGAUUCGCAUAGAUAUUCGGGAUGGAAACAAUUAAUCGAAGAUCUAAGUGCUCAGCAUAUUAAAGUGAUGACGUAUUGCAAUCCUUGUUUAACUCCGGUACGUGUCUUUUUUUCAGUAAUCUUCUCAUAUAUAUAUAUGUGUGUGUGUGUGUGUGUGUGUGUGUGUGAGAGAGAGAGAGAGAGAGCAUAAUCUUGAAAAAUGGUAAUAACUUAGAAUGUCUAUUACUGAAGAUGGGUGAAAAGAGAAAUGUAAGAAGAAACCUAUUUGAGGAGGCGGUGAAAUCGGACAUACUAGUGAAGGACAGUGAAGGAGGAAUAUACAUGGUUCCUAAUACAGCUUUCGAUGUCGGAAUGUUGGAUUUUACGCAUCCGAAAACGGCAGGUUGGUUCAAACAGAUUUUGCAAGAAAUGGUGGAUGACGGAGUUAGAGGAUGGAUGGCUGAUUUUGGCGAGGGUUUACCCGUCGAUGCCUGUCUCUAUUCAGGUUUAUUUCGAAUUUCGUUUCACAACUUUGUAUGUUUAUAGCAUGAGAAUUAUAAAAAAAAAUUAAACAUUUAAUUUUACCUAGUUACUUUUGUAAAUAUUUUUCAGGAGAAGAUCCGAUGACUGCACACAACAGAUAUCCGGAGCUGUGGGCAAAAAUAAACAGAGAAUUCGUCGAAGAAUGGAAAGCCAGUCGAAUCGGCAAAGCUAAGGAAGAUCCACAAGAGGAUCUAGUUUUUUUCAUGAGGGCCGGUUUUCGAGAAAGCCCGAAAUGGGCAAGUCUAUUUUGGGAAGGCGACCAAAUGGUUAGCUGGCAAGCCAACGAUGGGAUCAAGAGUGCUGUCUUAGGUUUACUCACUAGUGGAAUUUCGGGCUACGCUUUCAACCAUAGCGAUAUCGGAGGCUAUUGUUCUGUCAGCUUACCGUUUUUCAAGUACCAAAGGAGUGAAGAACUUCUCCUUCGAUGGAUGGAGCUCAACGCAUUCACCACUGUUUUUCGAACACACGAAGUAAGUAUUGAAAAACACGAGCAUUAAUGUAACGUACGAUAAAGAACUUGUGAAAUUUAUGCUAGUGUAUAUUCACAUUCUUGAUUUAGGGAAACAAGCCGUCUUGCAAUAGUCAGUUCUACUCGAACCAGAGGACUCUAUCUCACUUUUCACGGUGUGCGAAGAUAUACAAAGCGUGGAAGUUUUACAGAAUCGAGCUCGUAAAGGUAACAAAUAAUAAUUAUCAUCAUCUAAUUUAUAAAUGCUAAAUGAAGAACCCUCCAAUCUAAAAACGGGUAUUUUUAUUUUUUAUUUUCUGUUUUUUAUUAGGAAGCUUCUGAAAAGGGGUUGCCUGUUUGUCGACACCUAUUCCUUCAUUAUCCGGAAGAUGAAUACGUGCAGACACUAACAUACGAGCAGUUUCUAGUCGGCACAGAGAUACUAGUAGUGCCGGUUCUUGACAAAGGAAAGGGAGUUGUUAAGGUUUACUUCCCGCAAAGCGAGAGCUGUUCUUGGAAGCAUGUUUGGACAGGAAAAAUAUAUCCGAAACAAGGCACCGAAAGUUGGGUCGAAGCUCAAAUAGGAUAUCCGGCUAUUUUUGUCAAGGAAGGAUCCAAAAUCGGAGAAACAUUUCUGAGAAACCUUAAAGCUUACGACAUCCUAUGAAUCGGAUCAAUAGAAUUGAUUGUGUAAUAACGAAGGUCAUUGUUCGUUACAUUUCAAGUUUUCGAACUUUUCCAUGUAAUGGAACAUCAAGAUGUAAAUAGACAGCAUCAUUAAAAUUCAAUUUUAUGUCAAAAUUUCACUGAAAAUAUCACAUAGGAAUAAGCCAAACUCCACUGAAGCAAUACAUCAAACAGGUUGUGUGCAUAUAAACAAAGAUAAUAAAAUUUAACACUUCAUGCAACGUACAUAUAAACAAACAUCAGACACAAACAAUGCCGAGGAAUGAAUUCAUACCUCAAUAAGCUGUCUGUGGUAACAAACUUCAAACACAAUUCUUGCAUCGUUUUAGGCAGGAAAAUUUUAUGAUGAAAUUAAUUUUGAGGUUGUUUGUGUUUUUCUUGUGAAG
This 2945-nucleotide long non-coding RNA is filed under the name Erythranthe guttata (spotted monkey flower). Its description in RNAcentral is "long non-coding RNA (EGUT_LNC003746)". The record is from RNAcentral. Lineage: Eukaryota; Viridiplantae; Streptophyta; Magnoliopsida; Lamiales; Phrymaceae.